GGACCCGCACAAGUAGUGGAGCAUGUGGUUUAAUUCGAAGAUACGCGCAGAACCUUACCAACACUUGACAUGUUCGUCGCGACUUUAAGAGAUUAAAGUUUUCGGUUCGGCCGGACGAAACACAGGUGCUGCAUGGCUGUCGUCAGCUCGUGUCGUGAGAUGUUGGGUUAAGUCCCGCAACGAGCGCAACCCUCACUUUUAGUUGCCAUCAUUUAGUUGGGCACUCUGAAAGAACUGCCAGUGAUAAGCUGGAGGAAGGUGGGGAUGACGUCAAGUCCUCAUGGCCCUUACGUGUUGGGCUACACACGUGCUACAAUGGUAUCUACAACAGGAAGCGAAACAGCGAUGUUGAGCAAAUCCUUAAAAGAUACCUCAGUUCGGAUUGCACUCUGCAACUCGAGUGCAUGAAGCUGGAAUUACUAGUAAUCG
This 429-nucleotide ribosomal RNA is filed under the name uncultured bacterium. RNAcentral describes it as "bacterial SSU rRNA". It matches the Rfam family "Bacterial small subunit ribosomal RNA", at positions 917 to 1344 of the family's 1533-position model. The record is from RNAcentral.